GACGAACGCUGGCGGCGUGCUUAACACAUGCAAGUCGAACGGAAAGGCCCUGCUUUUGUGGGGUGCUCGAGUGGCGAACGGGUGAGUAACACGUGAGUAACCUGCCCUUGACUUUGGGAUAACUUCAGGAAACUGGGGCUAAUACCGGAUAGGAGCUCCUGCUGCAUGGUGGGGGUUGGAAAGUUUCGGCGGUUGGGGAUGGACUCGCGGCUUAUCAGCUUGUUGGUGGGGUAGUGGCUUACCAAGGCUUUGACGGGUAGCCGGCCUGAGAGGGUGACCGGCCACAGUGGGACUGAGAGACGGCCCAGACUGCUACGGGAGGCAGCAGUGAGGAAUAUUGCACAAUGGGCGGAAGCCUGAUGCAGCAACGCCGCGUGCGGGAUGACGGCCUUCGGGUUGUAAACCGCUUUCGCCUGUGACGAAGCGUGAGUGACGGUAAUGGGUAAAGAAGCACCGGCUAACUACGU
This 467-nucleotide ribosomal RNA is filed under the name uncultured bacterium. RNAcentral describes it as "partial 16S ribosomal RNA". It matches the Rfam family "Bacterial small subunit ribosomal RNA", at positions 28 to 506 of the family's 1533-position model. The record is from RNAcentral.